This 88-nucleotide transfer RNA is filed under the name Stegodyphus mimosarum. RNAcentral's name for it is "tRNA-Tyr for anticodon GUA". It matches the Rfam family "tRNA". From Rfam's summary of the family: Transfer RNA (tRNA) molecules are approximately 80 nucleotides in length. Their secondary structure includes four short double-helical elements and three loops (D, anti-codon, and T loops). Further hydrogen bonds mediate the characteristic L-shaped molecular structure. tRNAs have two regions of fundamental functional importance: the anti-codon, which is responsible for specific mRNA codon recognition, and the 3' end, to which the tRNAs corresponding amino acid is attached (by aminoacyl-tRNA synthetases). tRNAs cope with the degeneracy of the genetic code in two manners: having more than one tRNA (with a specific anti-codon) for a particular amino acid; and 'wobble' base-pairing, i.e. permitting non-standard base-pairing at the 3rd anti-codon position. Lineage: Eukaryota; Metazoa; Arthropoda; Arachnida; Araneae; Eresidae. The record is from Rfam by way of RNAcentral.
CCGUCGAUAGCUCAGUUGGUAGAGCGGUGGACUGUAGGUGUCGAAAAUAGUAAUCCAUAGGUCGCUGGUUCGAAUCCGGCUUGACGGA